RNAcentral lists this ribosomal RNA (1035 nucleotides) under Triticum aestivum (bread wheat). RNAcentral's name for it is "partial small subunit ribosomal RNA". Lineage: Eukaryota; Viridiplantae; Streptophyta; Magnoliopsida; Poales; Poaceae. The record is from RNAcentral.
AUGACAAUAACCUUCGGUGAUGGUACCGAAGACAAGAAAAUCAAGAUUACCAAGGAAGCUAUACACAAGGUGUUUGGAUACCCAAACGGCACGGAAAAGUCAGCACCAAGGCCAGCGAAGAGCCCAACUUCAAUGAAAGAACUGAUGUCAGACCUUGGCUUCAAACAUACAGAUUUCAAGGCAAAAGAACUGUUCACGGAGCUAAAAAUAUUGGUGGAACUAGAUGACGAACAGUCAAACAGGAAAUCAGUUAAAAUAUUUUUCCUUAUUUUUUUCCACAACGUUGUCUGCGGGUCAAGCACCGCUAUCUUCGCCCGACAAGCUAUAAUGGUAGAGGACAUGGACUAUCCAGAGAUGGCAAAGAUGGAUUUCUGCGAGGUAAUCGUUGAAUGUAUUAAGGAAGGAGCCAAGAUAUGGCAGAAACACAGAAAUUUGCCUCAGGAAGAGAAGAACAAAAAGCAUAUCAAUGGUUUGGCACAGGGGCCAGUAAUCAUGUACCUCGACUCCCUGCUGCUGCCAACCGACACAAAAGAAAUGCGGAAGAUUGCAAAGACAAUAUACAAGACCUCAUUACCACGAGCAAACCAUCUCAAAGAGAGUGACCUAGCGAAAAUAGCUAGAGCAGACAUGAAAAGGGACGGAAAAGCACGACCAGAUGACUAUGAAUUUGGCAAAAUACAGAUAGCAGGAGAACAUCGCAAACAACAGCAACACCAGAACACGACCAAACUGCUACCACCUCCACCCAAACGCUGGCGCGAACCACGUGUCAGCACCAGUGGAAGCAGGGAACCAAACAAAAGCAUCAGCACAGGAGCAGAAGAAAGAUUCCAAAGGAUAAACAAAUUGUUGGAAAUGGUACUCCAUGAAGCAGAACAGAUACCCGCAGUAACCACCAGGGUUGAACACCAAUGCAACGAAAAGGAAAAGAUAUUGGAUGAAAAAAACAAGAACCUAGUCGUGCAACAAACAAUUGCCCUGAUGGAUUCAUUAGAACAACUCAGACAAUUUCAGGACAUAGUUUGCACAAGGUAG